This 710-nucleotide ribosomal RNA is filed under the name uncultured bacterium. RNAcentral's name for it is "bacterial SSU rRNA". It matches the Rfam family "Bacterial small subunit ribosomal RNA", at positions 56 to 761 of the family's 1533-position model. The record is from RNAcentral.
UGCAGUCGAGGGGCAGCAUGACCUAGCAAUAGGUUGAUGGCGACCGGCGCACGGGUGAGUAACACGUAUCCAACCUACCGGUUAUUCCGGGAUAGCCUUUCGAAAGAAAGAUUAAUACCGGAUAGUAUAACGAGAAGGCAUCUUUUUGUUAUUAAAGAAUUUCGAUAACCGAUGGGGAUGCGUUCCAUUAGUUUGUUGGCGGGGUAACGGCCCACCAAGACAUCGAUGGAUAGGGGUUCUGAGAGGAAGGUCCCCCACAUUGGAACUGAGACACGGUCCAAACUCCUACGGGAGGCAGCAGUGAGGAAUAUUGGUCAAUGGACGAGAGUCUGAACCAGCCAAGUAGCGUGAAGGAUGACUGCCCUAUGGGUUGUAAACUUCUUUUAUAUGGGAAUAAAGUGAGCCACGUGUGGCUUUUUGUAUGUACCAUACGAAUAAGGAUCGGCUAACUCCGUGCCAGCAGCCGCGGUAAUACGGAGGAUCCGAGCGUUAUCCGGAUUUAUUGGGUUUAAAGGGAGCGUAGGCGGACUAUUAAGUCAGCUGUGAAAGUUUGCGGCUCAACCGUAAAAUUGCAGUUGAUACUGGUCGUCCUGAGUGCAGUAGAGGUAGGCGGAAUUCGUGGUGUAGCGGUGAAAUGCUUAGAUAUCACGAAGAACUCCGAUUGCGAAGGCAGCUUACUGGACUGUAACUGACGCUGAUGCUCGAAAGUG